This 398-nucleotide unclassified non-coding RNA is filed under the name Hevea brasiliensis (rubber tree). The record is from RNAcentral. Lineage: Eukaryota; Viridiplantae; Streptophyta; Magnoliopsida; Malpighiales; Euphorbiaceae.
AAUUGAAUUGAAUUUUUGUAAAAUUCUACAUUUCAAACGAGGGAAAUAAAAAGUGACAAGAUUAAUAUGCUAGUUACUGUUUAUUUUAUAUAUGCAUCUCAUCAUAUACACAUUGUGUCUUAGAUUGCAGUGAAUUACCUAGGUAAAUAGUGUUUUCAAGUUUUAAUCUUUCAAAAAUUAAUACAUCAUCUGAGUAUGUCACUUAGUCACUUAGAUUAUCUUUCAGCUUCUUUGUGAAUCAUUUUGCACAUGAUUUAUAUAUGUCCGGUCCAAUCACAUAUGUCAUCAAGAAAUCUCCAUAAUUAAUUCAUCAAUUUUAUGCAAGGGAGAAAGAAAAAAUUAAAGAAUAAAUAUAUUUUGAGAAGUAUAUAUACCUUCGAAGUGAGGCAGUAUUUUGU